GGAAGGUUAGUCUUAAUAUAGAAGAUAUAGGGUUGUCAACCCUGAGAGGUUACUUGUAACACCUUCUU
RNAcentral lists this transfer RNA (68 nucleotides) under Pseudocuneopsis sichuanensis. RNAcentral describes it as "tRNA-Asp". The record is from RNAcentral. Lineage: Eukaryota; Metazoa; Mollusca; Bivalvia; Unionida; Unionidae.